This 899-nucleotide long non-coding RNA is filed under the name Salmo salar (Atlantic salmon). Its description in RNAcentral is "lncRNA (ENSSSAG00000102799.1, ENSSSAG00000106145.1)". Lineage: Eukaryota; Metazoa; Chordata; Actinopteri; Salmoniformes; Salmonidae. The record is from RNAcentral.
CAGGUAACAAGGUAAACAAAGGGUCACAUGUCAUUGAUGACCAGGUCAUUCCCAUGUCUACUGUUGAAUAUCAGACAAACUGCAGCAAUUCAUUACGGAAUACACUUCACUGAUACACUUCCUCAUCAGAAUGAGUAAAGCCUGAAAUAACUUUAGAAGCUUAGACAUAAGAGAAUGUACAUGAAAACAGCAUACAGUAAGUGUACUGGACAUUUUUAUUGGUGUCAAUGCAUUAGCAUUAGAAAUGACAAUAUGUUCAGAAUUGUAUUUAUUGAUUUUUAUUUAACCUUUUAACCUAAAAGCCUUCUAGGCAAGUCAGUUAAGAACAAAAUUCUUAUUUACCACGACGGCCUAACCCGGCCAAACCCGGACGACGCUGGGCUAAUUGUGCGCCGCCCUAUGGGACUCCCAGUCACAGCCGGAUGUGAUGCAGCCUGGAUUCGAACCAGGGACUGUAGUGACACCUCUCGCACUGAGAUGCAGUGACUUAGACCGCUGCGCCACUCGGGAGCUCUGUAUUGUAUGUAUUGAUCAGACAUUUAUUUAAUAAUUUACGAUCGGCCAGCAUAGCCAAAAUAUUGAUCAACAUGAACACAUGAGAAAUAAAGGUGAGAAAUAAAGGUGAGAAAUAAAGGUGAGACAUCAUUUGACAGAAAACUAAUUUAGAGCCAUAAGUCAUAAUCUAACCCUAACCCUGCCGCCCUACAGUGUUCAGGACCCCAUUGAUUCAUACAGUUUGUAACGCUCAUCUCCUGUCUGAAUGGCUUGGAAGAAAAAUAAUACAAAGUAACAAAAUGUGAUGUCGUAUCACGUAAAAGUGAAUUACUUAGACUUUAGGAAAUGUAACCAACUAAGAGAUUGAUGGGAGAGGAGGGGAGGUAGACAAGCUUCAAUCACCC